RNAcentral lists this long non-coding RNA (1699 nucleotides) under Anolis carolinensis (green anole). Its description in RNAcentral is "lncRNA (ENSACAG00000034616.1)". The record is from RNAcentral. Lineage: Eukaryota; Metazoa; Chordata; Lepidosauria; Squamata; Anolidae.
AUGGAUCGAUUUAGUGUUAAAAGGAAGGUGAGUGUCACAUAUUUGAGGUGUGCCUUACAAAGUAAAACUCCGGCCACAGCACAGCUAAGCCCAGUCAUUCUCCCAAAGGAAAGACGCUGCAGGUCACAGGAGGACAUGGUCCCAUUUGUGCACAAGAAGAACAUACAAAGAAAGCCAGGGUUUAGCAGAACUACGACCCAAAUGCCUCUAUGCACUCCACAUUCUUCAAGGCUGAUCUCUAUCCCCCUCAGUGGCCCAUAUGACAACCCUCAUCCCUCUAUUUCUUAACUCAGCUGUGGAAAGGAACACCUAGGCAGCAAACAAGCAAUGUCAGGUUGAGGUGGAAACUGUAAACACUAGUGAGCACAAAAGGGAUGCUGUUCCUUUAGGAGGUUGAAGGAUUUGGAGAUAUCCGGUCCUGUAGCUCAUAAGAAUUGGUCUCGAGAAGCCCAUCGGAGCUAAAGAGGCCGAAGUAGUUUAGCUCCUUUUCUUUGUGGGGUAGGGAUGAGGUUCACCCAUCUAUUCAAGUGGGCCUCAGAAGUCACUUAAUUCAAGAUAAGCAGUGGUCCCCAGGAGCGACACCUUGGUUCUGCUACACACACAUAACAUGCACACAUGCUUCCCCUGCUAGGCUGGAUGAUCCACCUGACUUCACCUGUUGUUUUUGUAGGAUUACUGGCGUCCCGUAUGGAAUUGGCAAGGGGGCACCUAUUUCCCCACGCUACAAAACAAGACCUCCUCAACCCACUGCACCAAGGAAAUGAGGCAGGCUCAGGGAGAAAGAAGCCCAUCUUCCCUGGCAUUUCCAGCACAGAAAAUAGGAUUAGAAUCACAAGGCCACAGCGUUUGGCAACUACAGAGAGCCCAUCCGGCAAAUCCCAAAUUCGCUUCUGAGCAGGUAAGUGAUGGGAAAGUAGGACCACAGCCUCCAUAGCACAGCAGCAGUGGGACUUGAAUCUGCCACAAUUAUUUCAGUGAAGGACUACAAGCAGGCAGCCACCAGAUUGUAGAGGAUUCAGAGAAGCAGCAAAUAGAAAAGAUGUCUGGCAUUGAAUAAACCUCUCCCUGAUAGAGGCGUAUAAUAGCAAGGAAAGCCCCAAAUCCCAAAAGUUGUUACUAAGAGACCUUUUUAGUGGGAGAUGUGUAGCAUCAGACCCUUCAAGAAGGCACAGAAAAAGACCUUGCAUACACAGAAGGACCGUAUUCCAACAGAAAACGACAAUGCCAAGUUCUCACACUAGCCCAACCCAGCAUAGGUGUAGUGACCCUCUUCUGGGUCAGGUGGGGGGAUCCUCUUUCCCCAGCCCUCUCAUCAUCCCUCCUUUCCCAAACCUCCGUAUUGUUGUAUGAACCCUCUCUGCUUUCUUUUUAACAGUCUCAAACCAACCAAAAAAGUGUCCAUUAUUUACAAAAGCUCAAUUUUUAACACAUGAGAAUAUAAAACUUGGAAGAGGAGGAAAGGGGAAUGCUUGCAAGGGACGCUUUUCAGGCACACAAUCCUGACACAAUACGAUUUUUAAAAUGUGAUUCUCAAGAAAAAGUAGUACAUAAUUCAGCUUAUUUAUAGGAGAGAGUCAGCUUGAUGAAGACUGGGCUUCUGCAAUGCCAGAAAAGGAGCAGAGUGAGAGGAAGGUCUGAUUUGGGAAUGGGUUGGGGCUUCUUCUCUCGACCCUCAGUCCCUCCAUCCCCCAAACACAGU